UACACAACCUUGAGCUACUAGUUUGGCCAUGUUCUUUAGCUGUUGGGGAUAGUCUUUCACAAAGUGCUGAGUGUUUUCGCACUAAUAGUACAUUUUGUUCAAAUGCCAACAGGGCUGAUCACUAUGCAAGCAUCCACAAUACUAACAUGGUUAGAUAGGUCGGGCAGGGUGUCUAGCAGGUAGAGGUAAAGCAGGGGAAGGGGCAAC
Molecule: long non-coding RNA, 207 nt
Filed under: Carica papaya (papaya)
Lineage: Eukaryota; Viridiplantae; Streptophyta; Magnoliopsida; Brassicales; Caricaceae
Description: long non-coding RNA (CPAP_LNC015714)
Source: RNAcentral